GGCCGUAGCUCAGUGGUAGAGUGCUUGCCUAGCAUGUGUGAGGCAAUGGGUUCGAUUCUCAUCACCA
This 67-nucleotide transfer RNA is filed under the name Marmota monax (woodchuck). Its description in RNAcentral is "tRNA.Ala". The stretch from base 5 to 63 matches the Rfam family "tRNA", at positions 7 to 64 of the family's 71-position model. From Rfam's summary of the family: Transfer RNA (tRNA) molecules are approximately 80 nucleotides in length. Their secondary structure includes four short double-helical elements and three loops (D, anti-codon, and T loops). The record is from RNAcentral. Lineage: Eukaryota; Metazoa; Chordata; Mammalia; Rodentia; Sciuridae.